UACGUAGGUGGCAAGCGUUGUCCGGAAUCACCGGGCGUAAAGGGCGCGUAGGCGGACUUUUAAGUCAGAUGUGAAAACUUUGGGCUCAACCCAGAGAUUGCAUCUGAUACUGGGAGUCUUGAGUGCAGGAGAGGACAGUGGAAUUCCUAGUGUAGCGGUGAAAUGCGUAGAUAUUAGGAGGAACACCAGUGGCGAAGGCGGCUGUCUGGACUGUAACUGACGCUGAGGCGCGAAAGCGUGGGGAGCAAACAGGAUUAGAUACCCUGGUAGUCCACGCCGUAAACGAUGGGUACUAGGUGUAGAAGGUAUCGACCCCUUCUGUGCCGGAGUUAACACAAUAAGUACCCCGCCUGGGGAGUACGGCCGCAAGGUUGAA
This 376-nucleotide ribosomal RNA is filed under the name uncultured bacterium. RNAcentral's name for it is "bacterial SSU rRNA". It matches the Rfam family "Bacterial small subunit ribosomal RNA", at positions 524 to 898 of the family's 1533-position model. The record is from RNAcentral.